CGCCGAGCGGGGGCCGGUCAAGCUGAGAGUUGGGACGGUAAGGACGGGGAAAUACAGCUGGUAACAAGACAAGAUCUCAGCUCUCUUGGAUCUCAAAGGUUUUUGAAGGAAACAUAAUAAUGAAGGAAACAUUUAAGAUAAUUGCAUAUAGAAAGUGCUUCAAAAAAAGAGAAGAUAAUGUUAUAAAGAAUGAUGUUAGAGGAAAAUAACAUUAAAGCUGUUUGGGGGACAUUAUGUUUAAGCUGAAAGUUGAAUAAUAAAAAGGAGCUGGCCAUAAAAAAAAAAAUGCAAGAAAAGGCCUGGUGGAGCAAACAGGUGAAGAGUGAUUUACAAACAAGUGAAACUGAUUGCUGCUAGUCAAGAGACUAGGUAACAAUGAUUCCCCAGGCAAGAACCCAGAACCUCUGACUCGUAUUUCUUCAGGUCAAGUCAUCUCUUCAUGCACCUUUGCAAAUGGUUUCAACAAAGCUUUGGGAUUAAGGCCUGAGGGAAGUAAAUUGAAAGGAUUGCCAGGCAGAAAAGUACAGAAAACAGAAUUCAGGACAAAGCUAUCUCAGAUCUGUAUCAAGCUAGAGUACUUGGGCAGACCUAGAGUGAGUUGGAAGGUGUGUGUGGGAGGGGCAGGUAAAGAAGAGCAGAAAUAGCUAGAGAAAUGGGCUUUCAAAUAAGAGGUUUGUGUUUCAUAUUGAAAGGACUGUUCAGCUAAAGAUCCAAAGGAAGAUAAGAGAAACUACUUUGCAUAAAUAAGAGCUCAGCAAGUUAACUGUCAAACAAGCAGAUCCAGGGUACACCAGCGGAAUGGGCCUGGUGUAAAAAUAACAUCUUCCCUACACUAAGCCCAUUCACAACAAUUCAGCCUCACCAGAGUUACCCACAGAGUACAAUGUCACUGUCUAUUUUGUUUGUUUCAAUACCAUGUUUGGAAAUGUCUAGACUUAUUCCAGAGUUGUCACCUGGUGGCGUUUUCACAGUUGGCUUGGGCCAUCUAGAAGGUUGAUACCAAAAAAACGUGCCUGUCUACCUUUGAUUCAGGAGAGCCUCUAAAGGACUUGAACCAGACAAGGAGAGUUUGUUAAAAAGUGGUCUCGAAAGACUAACCAUCUGCAUGUCAACAAAGUGUUUCAUUUUUACCUUUACCUUGCAAGUUUUGAACAGUUUCCACAGUAACUUCUUUGUGGCAAUUUAAAUGUGUCCGUGGUAGAAAAACAAAUGAGAAAAUAUCCCCACCCACUCCACUUCAAGAAAACGUAUUUUUCACUAAGUGAGCUGACACUUCUAGCACAAGGUUUGAAAGCAGAUGCCCAGCUGUGUUAUUUAUGUGUGAGAGCAACUGUAGACAUUGACUGCUUAUCUCCUGGCUGUCUCCUUGGUGUUCCUUCAGAGGAGUUUAUCUCAUGGUACCCAGGAAUGUCAGUCAUGGGAAGGCACUGCCCAGAUCAUUCUUCAGGAGAACCAGUUUUGAGGAGUGUGGCUGGCCAGCAGUUUCCAGUAGCCACUCUUCAGCCAUCAGCCACAGCAUUUACACUAAUGCUACACUCUUCACUGGGCUAUUCCCAGCCAGUGACUGAGCCAAGUGUGCUGGAGUCAGGCCAUUUCUCCCCAGUGCUGGACUUCUCUCCUGGACAAGCAUUGCCCUUGACUUCCCAUUGGUUUGGCCCAGAUUUCCUCAAAGUUUUACUGCAAAUGGGUGUUCUUCCUCUCCACUCUUCCUUCCUUCCUUUUCCCUCUUGACCGGUGUCAGAACUUCUUUGUGGUCUGAGAUAAUCCUCACCUACUCUUUUUCCCUUUUCCCUUUAUACUCUGUAGACCUUCCCCCCAGUAAAUCUCUUAUAUUUCUAAUUCCGUCUUUGUUUCUGCUUCCUACAGUACUGAAACUAACACAACAAGCCAGCAGUUGUACCUUGGCUCCUGUAUUUGGCCCAGUGAGUUUUGUUUUUGAUCACACCUGACUGUCCCUCUCUAGAAGUCAGGAUACUUGGUUUCUAGUUGUUAUGAGGGUUGCCACAGGAAUCCCAGGGGCACCAUUAUGUGCACUACCAUGAACUGUCAGUGGUUAAAGAGAGCAAAUUCUGGACUUAGGCAAACCUAGGCCCAAAUUUUACAUCUAUUCAGUAGCUUGGUUGUUCUGGGUAAGUCAGUUAAGCCAGUAUAGCAUAGUGAUUGUGAACUGGGACUUUAGAACCAGAUUGCCUGGGUUUGAAACUUAGUUUUGCUGCUUAAUAGCUGUGUGACCUUGGAGAAAUUAUUUGACAUCUCUGUGACUCAGUUUUCUCAUAUAAUGAGGGAAAAAUAGAAAACUACUUUAAAAGCUUUUGCAGACAAGGUAAUGUUUAAAAGAAUUUACAGAAGUUCCUAAUGCAAAGUAAGCACUCAGUAAAUGUUAGCGAUACUGCUACUACUACUAUUAUUACUACUCCUAGUAAUGUAUUAAUCUGUACAAUUUAUUCAGUAUUCAACAGGUAUUUAGUAAGCUCCUACUAUGUUCCAGGUACUGUGCUGCAUGGUAGAUAUAUAAUUGUAGAUAAAUCAGACCUGGCAAAUAAGCAAAUAGAUGUGGUAAACAUAGUAAACUCAGUGAUAUGCUAAGGAUCAGUUGAAAUAAAAUGUACAACUCACUUCACAUUGGGUCCUGCAUGUAGUAAGUGCUCACUAAAUUCUACCUCAUUAUCAUCAAAUGCCUUAUCUUAUGAGACUCUCAGCUUUUUUCCUUAUAAACUGAAGGGUUGGUCCCAUCAGAGUAUCUUAAACCUAGCUAUGUAUCAGAAAUUCCUAGACAUAUUUAAAAAUUUCAAGGUCUUGUCAUACCCCUUGAGUUCCUGAUUCAGUAAGUAUAUUAUCCCCUGUACCUUUGGUCACAAGUAACAAACUCAGAACCCUCUUAAGCUGAUCAAGGGAAUUCAUUGACAUAGGAGACUGGGGAGUUCAGAAACAGAAUUUGCCUCAGCAACUUAGCAAAUAUUGUAAGAACUCUCUCUGAUUCUCAUUUUCCUUAAUUGCAGAUAUGUUUCUCCUGGUUGGCAGGGAACAGGGCAACCACUCUGUGGAGAAUGGGUUCCAUUUUUUUUUCAGUGAGGGAACCAAGGGGGAAGAGACACUUUUGUCUUUCAUCCACUGAGUCUGGUAUCACAGGAAAUCACUCUGACUGGUCCAGUUUGGAUCAUGUGCCUAUGUCAGGGCCAAUCACCUCUAGGGAGGUGUGCAUUACAGACUUGGUAGCCCUAGGAGAACCACAUGGAGUGGGGGAAACUCUGAAGAAAGCCCUACUUUGGCAGACAAAAGCAACAGUUGUUUUUGACUGUAGUUCUAAGGUGGGGCCUAGGAAUCUGUAUUUUUAGAAAACCUCUUAAAUAAUUUUGCUAGGGUUUGGGAUGCCCUUGGUUAGAUGACACGAGGUCUUUUUCAGCUCAGACACCAUUUUUUUUUAGGGUCCAAAUUCUACAGAAGUUGGGUUGGCGAGAGAGAAGAGUGCCCUGGGGGAUAAUAGAAAAGAAGGAAGAAUCAAUGAAGUAGAUCAAAGUUAAGUGGAGUUGCAGCAUUGUGUGAGGUAAGCUGGCAGCAGGGCUAACUCUUGCUAAUUCUCUGUUCUGCUGACAGUUGGACUCUUCUUGGCUGAAACUCAAUUUCCUUUCAGGGCUGUCAGUAUAGCUCAGGUGAGCCUAUACAGAAAACCUGGUAGGUGUUUUAAAGGGAUAACACAGUCUCAGUCCUUCUGCAAGAAUGUGCAGGCACCAGCAGGAGGUGAGGCGAAGUCAGAGUGCCCAUGGAAUAAUUUCCUGCUUCCUGGGACACAAUGUCUCCUUCUGUCUCCUGUCCACAGGUGAGCCCCAGAGUGGAUGUGCUGCUCUUGGUAGCUAGGCCUCUGAAUGCUCUAUUCACAGGAAGCCAUGGUGCCCUCAGUGAAGCAGCUAGGCAGCUCGUGACUGUGGAAACCAAUCCUUCAUUGUCAAGUCAAAUUCAGGGUGAAUGGGGUAGAUGUCAGAAAGGAUAGGCUGGCUGGUUUCUGAGGCAUGGUCUUUCUAGAGAAGGUCAAGUGGCCUGAGAAAGCCCCCAAGUGUCCAGAGUUCACGUGGAGGCUCUGCUGCUUCUUGAACUCUAACCAGUUCAGUGGAAUUAUGUUCUAGAGGAAGAGCUUGCUGCAAUGGAUAUCAAAAGAGUCCGAUGGAUAGCCACUGCUCUUUGAUAAAUAGAAUGAAUGUGGCUAAAGAUGUGGAGGUUCAUUCAGCACACAGCAUUCUUUCUUGGUGGGAAAGAGCCAGCAUUCAGCAUUUACUGGGCCCCUGCAAUGUGUAGUGGGGUAAAUGUAGAUGACUGAACAUGUUAUUGCCCAAGGUGCUUAUAGUCUAUAUGAAGAUAGACAUAUAAACAAACAAAAACCACAACAGAAUAUUUAAGGAGGCGGUGUAGUGUGUUGGGGAGAGGUCAGAGCACCAGCUAGGCUAUCAGCAGGUCCUUGGUUCAUACCACAUAGCUGUGUGACAUUAGCUAAAUUAGUUGGCCUCUCAAGUCUCGGCUCCCUUGUUGGAAAAGUGGGCCUGAUAAGAGUCCCGGACUCAUAGGGUUGUUGUGAGGAGAUGACACCCUAGCAUAGUGGUGGAUACAUCACAUUAAUCAGAUCUGUUAAAUAAAAUGUUACCAUUGCUGAACUGUUUGUAUCCAGAGAUCAUGGGAGAUAUAAGAAAGGGUAUUAGAACAGGUUCAUUAAAUCUUUUAAUAAAUUUAAAUUUGGACACUUACUCCAUUGCCAAGAAUUGUACUGUGAAAAAUAGACAGAAUUCUUGUUU
This is a non-coding RNA of Manis javanica (Malayan pangolin), 4781 nucleotides long. The record is from RefSeq and is a predicted model, not a curated record. Lineage: Eukaryota; Metazoa; Chordata; Mammalia; Pholidota; Manidae.